Molecule: ribosomal RNA, 468 nt
Filed under: uncultured bacterium
Lineage: Bacteria
Description: partial 16S ribosomal RNA
Rfam family: Bacterial small subunit ribosomal RNA
Source: RNAcentral
GACGAACGCUGGCGGCGUGCUUAACACAUGCAAGCCGAACGGAAAGGCCCUGCUUUUGUGGGGUGCUCGAGUGGCGAACGGGUGAGUAACACGUGAGUAACCUGCCCUUGACUUUGGGAUAACUUCAGGAAACUGGGGCUAAUACCGGAUAGGAGCUCCUGCUGCAUGGUGGGGGUUGGAAAGUUUCGGCGGUUGGGGAUGGACUCGCGGCUUAUCAGCUUGUUGGUGGGGUAGUGGCUUACCAAGGCUUUGACGGGUAGCCGGCCUGAGAGGGUGACCGGCCACAUUGGGACUGCGAUACGGCCCAGACGCCUACGGGAGGCAGCAGUGGGGAAUAUUGCACAAUGGGCGGAAGCCUGAUGCAGCAACGCCGCGUGCGGGAUGACGGCCUUCGGGUUGUAAACCGCUUUCGCCUGUGACGAAGCGUGAGUGACGGUAAUGGGUAAAGAAGCACCGGCUAACUACGUG